CCUACGGGAGGCAGCAGUGAGGAAUAUUGGUCAAUGGACGCAAGUCUGAACCAGCCAUGCCGCGUGCAGGAUGACGGCUCUAUGAGUUGUAAACUUCUUUUGUACGAGGGUAAACCCCGAUACGUGUAUCGUGUUGAAAGUAUCGUACGAAUAAGGAUCGGCUAACUCCGUGCCAGCAGCCGCGGUAAUACGGAGGAUCCGAGCGUUAUCCGGAUUUAUUGGGUUUAAAGGGUGCGUAGGCGGUUUGAUAAGUUAGAGGUGAAAUGUCGGGGCUCAACCCCGAAACUGCCUCUAAUACUGUUGGACUAGAGAAUAGUUGCGGUAGGCGGAAUGUAUGGUGUAGCGGUGAAAUGCUUAGAGAUCAUACAGAACACCGAUUGCGAAGGCAGCUUACCAGACUAUAUCUGACGUUGAGGCACGAAAGCGUGGGUAGCAAACAGGAUUAGAUACCCGAGUAGUC
RNAcentral lists this ribosomal RNA (460 nucleotides) under uncultured bacterium. Its description in RNAcentral is "partial 16S ribosomal RNA". It matches the Rfam family "Bacterial small subunit ribosomal RNA", at positions 338 to 795 of the family's 1533-position model. The record is from RNAcentral.